RNAcentral lists this ribosomal RNA (2919 nucleotides) under Bacillus anthracis (anthrax bacterium). RNAcentral's name for it is "bacterial LSU rRNA". It matches the Rfam family "Bacterial large subunit ribosomal RNA". Lineage: Bacteria; Bacillati; Bacillota; Bacilli; Caryophanales; Bacillaceae. The record is from RNAcentral.
UUAAGUUAGAAAGGGCGCACGGUGGAUGCCUUGACACUAGGAGUCGAUGAAGGACGGGACUAACGCCGAUAUGCUUCGGGGAGCUGUAAGUAAGCUUUGAUCCGAAGAUUUCCGAAUGGGGAAACCCACCAUACGUAAUGGUAUGGUAUCCUUAUCUGAAUACAUAGGGUAAGGAAGACAGACCCAGGGAACUGAAACAUCUAAGUACCUGGAGGAAGAGAAAGCAAAUGCGAUUCCCGAGUAGCGGCGAGCGAAACGGAACAUAGCCCAAACCAAGAGGCUUGCCUCUUGGGGUUGUAGGACAUUCUAUACGGAGUUACAAAGGAACGAGGUAGACGAAGCGACCUGGAAAGGUCCGUCGUAGAGGGUAACAACCCCGUAGUCGAAACUUCGUUCUCUCUUGAAUGUAUCCUGAGUACGGCGGAACACGUGAAAUUCCGUCGGAAUCUGGGAGGACCAUCUCCCAAGGCUAAAUACUCCCUAGUGAUCGAUAGUGAACCAGUACCGUGAGGGAAAGGUGAAAAGCACCCCGGAAGGGGAGUGAAAGAGAUCCUGAAACCGUGUGCCUACAAAUAGUCAGAGCCCGUUAACGGGUGAUGGCGUGCCUUUUGUAGAAUGAACCGGCGAGUUACGAUCCCGUGCGAGGUUAAGCUGAAGAGGCGGAGCCGCAGCGAAAGCGAGUCUGAAUAGGGCGUUUAGUACGUGGUCGUAGACCCGAAACCAGGUGAUCUACCCAUGUCCAGGGUGAAGUUCAGGUAACACUGAAUGGAGGCCCGAACCCACGCACGUUGAAAAGUGCGGGGAUGAGGUGUGGGUAGCGGAGAAAUUCCAAUCGAACCUGGAGAUAGCUGGUUCUCCCCGAAAUAGCUUUAGGGCUAGCCUUAAGUGUAAGAGUCUUGGAGGUAGAGCACUGAUUGGACUAGGGGUCCUCAUCGGAUUACCGAAUUCAGUCAAACUCCGAAUGCCAAUGACUUAUCCUUAGGAGUCAGACUGCGAGUGAUAAGAUCCGUAGUCAAAAGGGAAACAGCCCAGACCGCCAGCUAAGGUCCCAAAGUGUGUAUUAAGUGGAAAAGGAUGUGGAGUUGCUUAGACAACUAGGAUGUUGGCUUAGAAGCAGCCACCAUUUAAAGAGUGCGUAAUAGCUCACUAGUCGAGUGACUCUGCGCCGAAAAUGUACCGGGGCUAAAUACACCACCGAAGCUGCGGAUUGAUACCAAUGGUAUCAGUGGUAGGGGAGCGUUCUAAGGACAGUGAAGUCAGACCGGAAGGACUGGUGGAGUGCUUAGAAGUGAGAAUGCCGGUAUGAGUAGCGAAAGACGGGUGAGAAUCCCGUCCACCGAAUGCCUAAGGUUUCCUGAGGAAGGCUCGUCCGCUCAGGGUUAGUCAGGACCUAAGCCGAGGCCGACAGGCGUAGGCGAUGGACAACAGGUUGAUAUUCCUGUACCACCUCUUUAUCGUUUGAGCAAUGGAGGGACGCAGAAGGAUAGAAGAAGCGUGCGAUUGGUUGUGCACGUCCAAGCAGUUAGGCUGAUAAGUAGGCAAAUCCGCUUAUCGUGAAGGCUGAGCUGUGAUGGGGAAGCUCCUUAUGGAGCGAAGUCUUUGAUUCCCCGCUGCCAAGAAAAGCUUCUAGCGAGAUAAAAGGUGCCUGUACCGCAAACCGACACAGGUAGGCGAGGAGAGAAUCCUAAGGUGUGCGAGAGAACUCUGGUUAAGGAACUCGGCAAAAUGACCCCGUAACUUCGGGAGAAGGGGUGCUUUCUUAACGGAAAGCCGCAGUGAAUAGGCCCAAGCGACUGUUUAGCAAAAACACAGCUCUCUGCGAAGCCGUAAGGCGAAGUAUAGGGGGUGACACCUGCCCGGUGCUGGAAGGUUAAGGAGAGGGGUUAGCGUAAGCGAAGCUCUGAACUGAAGCCCCAGUAAACGGCGGCCGUAACUAUAACGGUCCUAAGGUAGCGAAAUUCCUUGUCGGGUAAGUUCCGACCCGCACGAAAGGUGUAACGAUUUGGGCACUGUCUCAACCAGAGACUCGGUGAAAUUAUAGUACCUGUGAAGAUGCAGGUUACCCGCGACAGGACGGAAAGACCCCGUGGAGCUUUACUGUAGCCUGAUAUUGAAUUUUGGUACAGUUUGUACAGGAUAGGCGGGAGCCUUUGAAACCGGAGCGCUAGCUUCGGUGGAGGCGCUGGUGGGAUACCGCCCUGACUGUAUUGAAAUUCUAACCUACGGGUCUUAUCGACCCGGGAGACAGUGUCAGGUGGGCAGUUUGACUGGGGCGGUCGCCUCCUAAAGUGUAACGGAGGCGCCCAAAGGUUCCCUCAGAAUGGUUGGAAAUCAUUCGUAGAGUGCAAAGGCAUAAGGGAGCUUGACUGCGAGACCUACAAGUCGAGCAGGGACGAAAGUCGGGCUUAGUGAUCCGGUGGUUCCGCAUGGAAGGGCCAUCGCUCAACGGAUAAAAGCUACCCCGGGGAUAACAGGCUUAUCUCCCCCAAGAGUCCACAUCGACGGGGAGGUUUGGCACCUCGAUGUCGGCUCAUCGCAUCCUGGGGCUGUAGUCGGUCCCAAGGGUUGGGCUGUUCGCCCAUUAAAGCGGUACGCGAGCUGGGUUCAGAACGUCGUGAGACAGUUCGGUCCCUAUCCGUCGUGGGCGUAGGAAAUUUGAGAGGAGCUGUCCUUAGUACGAGAGGACCGGGAUGGACGCACCGCUGGUGUACCAGUUGUUCUGCCAAGGGCAUAGCUGGGUAGCUAUGUGCGGAAGGGAUAAGUGCUGAAAGCAUCUAAGCAUGAAGCCCCCCUCAAGAUGAGAUUUCCCAUAGCGUAAGCUAGUAAGAUCCCUGAAAGAUGAUCAGGUUGAUAGGUUCGAGGUGGAAGCAUGGUGACAUGUGGAGCUGACGAAUACUAAUAGAUCGAGGACUUAACCAU